Long non-coding RNA from Mus musculus (house mouse), 1424 nucleotides. RefSeq annotates it as predicted gene, 34702. The record is from RefSeq and is a predicted model, not a curated record. Lineage: Eukaryota; Metazoa; Chordata; Mammalia; Rodentia; Muridae. The transcript is spliced from 3 exons.
GGUGAUCACCAGCACUUCUUGGAACAGGAAAACAUGGAGUUUCUAGAAGAAAAGAGCCCACAGGAUUGUCCUGAGCAACCAUCUAAGUGAUAAGGUCUCACUCUGGAGCGUCUAAUCUGGAAUUAAAGCAAACAGAUGUGCCAUGGUCAGAAGAUAUCAUUUUGCUGCCGGUUAACCCAUCAUCUGACUCUUCGAUCCUUUCUUUUCCUUAUAUGAUGUUCACUGACCGUCGAGUAGGUGAAAUAGACUGGAAUCUCUGGAAACAAGGAUGCUCUUCAAGCUUCCAGUCCCCAUUUUAGGCCUGGAGGGUCCAGACAGCAACUGACUGGCAUGGUCACACUUCCUCUGGAUAUGUACAGGACACAACUGCUAAAGCCUUUCCCAGACCAAACUAACCCCAUAACACUAGAGACAAAAGUAUAUUUCAGGAAAAAAAGUGAGGCUAAAUCUUCAAGCUUGAGGCUGAAACACUGUCACAAUCUGCACACAUUGCUUAAAGAGGCACCACCAUUCUACAUUACUGUGUCAUAAAAAACAGAGCAGGAGCCCUGCUAACUCUGAAGGAAGUCCACAGUCUGAGGAAGUUUAAAAACACAUUGAACCACUUCUGACUCCAGUUGACCCACUCUCUUUAGAGGAAGGUCUUUGUGGGUUGAAGAAGUUUAGAGCAAUACCAUGACUUAGAACGCAAAGUCAAAAGUUCGUGAUGAAUGAUCUCUCCUGAAAUAUUAAAGCGUGUUUCAUCUAAAUUAUUCAGCUGAGAACAUUACUUGUCCCGCAGAUAUUCUUGAGAUAUUUCCGCCUUGGUACUAAAAUUGACUUCUGAACUAAAGCCAAGUCAUAGAACCCUUCGAAGGUUCCAGAUCUUGGCAGUAACUGAGAGGCAUCAGGUCAGACACCAAUGUUAAGAAUUUUGGGCACAUUCAUGUAAUGUCAGUGAGAACCAGAAGGUUUUAGGAAGGUGAGGAACAAGUUUACCUGGAAAGAGAAUACCAGUAUAUUAAUAAUACCUAAAACCCCUCUCUAUCAGUACACUCCCUGCCCAUUGUCCUGGAAUACUAGCCCCAUCAGAGGGAUGGAGAGACCUAAUUCUGCCUAGAAGAAGUCAUUAAAGUUGUCUGCUUUCAUUACCUGCUUCAUAACAAAUAAAAAUAUCUAGAAUUGUGUAGGGCUGUGAAAGGCAGCCUGAUUCCUGGUUGACUAAGGCUAGAAACACUGGUAACCCUAAAGGGGUGGUAGAUAUUUCCCUGUUCCCAGAGAAUCAGGCUCCUGGCACAAGGCGGCAGGCCUCCACAGAUUUGUGACCAUCAGUCACAUAAGGGCAAAGCCCCAAACCCCUCUACAGGUCACAUAGCCUCAAGACAGAUCUCCAUUUUAAUGAGGUACUUAGAGGCUUAGCCAAUAAACUCUCCUUCCUAGACACU